UGAUUAUCAAGAGUGAACGAGAGAAUUGGCUCUAUGACUUCACAGCAACCUCCCCAUCAGGAAAGGUGCUCCUACCAACAAAGCUCUGCUUUGGUUGAUAAAAG
This 104-nucleotide non-coding RNA is filed under the name Schinkia azotoformans LMG 9581. RNAcentral describes it as "Bacillus azotoformans LMG 9581 SAM riboswitch aptamer (S box leader)". It matches the Rfam family "SAM riboswitch aptamer (S box leader)". From Rfam's summary of the family: The SAM riboswitch is found upstream of a number of genes which code for proteins involved in methionine or cysteine biosynthesis in Gram-positive bacteria. The SAM riboswitch acts at the level of transcription termination control. The predicted structure consists of a complex stem-loop region followed by a single stem loop terminator region. Lineage: Bacteria; Bacillati; Bacillota; Bacilli; Caryophanales; Bacillaceae. The record is from Rfam by way of RNAcentral.